UACGGAGGGUGCGAGCGUUGUCCGGAAUCACUGGGCGUAAAGGGCGCGUAGGCGGUUCGUUAAGUCGCUGGUGAAAUUCCGGGGCUCAACUCCGGGGCGGCCGGCGAGACUGGCGAGCUCGGGCACGGUAGAGGCAGAUGGAAUUCCCGGUGUAGCGGUGGAAUGCGUAGAUAUCGGGAAGAACACCUGUGGCGAAGGCGUUCUGCUGGGCCGUUGCUGACGCUGAGGCGCGACAGCGUGGGGAGCAAACAGGAUUAGAUACCCCAGUAGU
This 271-nucleotide ribosomal RNA is filed under the name uncultured bacterium. RNAcentral's name for it is "partial 16S ribosomal RNA". It matches the Rfam family "Bacterial small subunit ribosomal RNA", at positions 524 to 794 of the family's 1533-position model. The record is from RNAcentral.